This 117-nucleotide non-coding RNA is filed under the name Homo sapiens (human). Lineage: Eukaryota; Metazoa; Chordata; Mammalia; Primates; Hominidae. The record is from Rfam by way of RNAcentral.
GCCGGGUGUGGUGGCUCACACCUGUAAUCCCAGCACUUUGGGAGGCCAAGGCGGGUGGAUCACCUGAGGUCGGGAGUUCGAAACCAGCCUGACCAACAUGGUGAAACCCCAUCUUUA